AAAUUUCAGUUUGUUGAGGAGCUGUAAUAUCUAUGGACCAAUCCCUCCUAAUAUUUCAGAAAUGAAACAACUUCAGAUUUUAGGUCUCAGCUUCAAUUGAUUGGAAGGAAAUAUUCCAGAUUUAAGAGGUCUAUCAAAGUUGGACUACAUGUAUGUGACACGCAACCUACUCAAUGGAAGUAUUCCAGCCUGGAUCAUGAGCAGAAAUGAUCACUAUUGAUAGACAAGGAUCCAAGCAAGGCAAUUUCCCUGUUCUGGUCUGCCAUAAAUGCUAGGGACUGGGUUGAUAGUGCCUUGCAAGACAUGGCAAUUGUGAUGAAACAAUUGGAUCGAUUUGAUGAGGCAAUUGAGGCUAUCAAAUCUUUUCGUCAUCUCUGCCCUUAUGAUUCUCAGGAAUCUCUUGACAAUGUGUUAGUUGAACUCUACAAGGUAAAACUAAAACCAGU
Quercus robur (English oak) is the source of this 446-nucleotide long non-coding RNA. RefSeq lists it as uncharacterized. The record is from RefSeq and is a predicted model, not a curated record. Lineage: Eukaryota; Viridiplantae; Streptophyta; Magnoliopsida; Fagales; Fagaceae. The transcript has 4 exons.